This 414-nucleotide ribosomal RNA is filed under the name uncultured microorganism. RNAcentral's name for it is "bacterial SSU rRNA". It matches the Rfam family "Archaeal small subunit ribosomal RNA", at positions 459 to 872 of the family's 1478-position model. The record is from RNAcentral.
CAGCCGCCGCGGUAAUACCGGCGGCCCGAGUGGCGGUCACUCUUAUUGGGCUUAAAGCGUCCGUAGCCGGGUUGGGAAGGCCUCCGGGAAAUCUGGCCGCUUAACGGUCAGAAUGCCGGAGGAUACUCCCAGCCUAGGGAGCGGGAGAGGCCGAGGGUAUUCCCGGAGUAGGGGUGAAAUCCUAUAAUCCCGGGAGGACCACCUGUGGCGAAGGCGCUCGGCUGGAACGCGUCCGACGGUGAGGGACGAAGGCCAGGGGAGCAAACCGGAUUAGAUACCCGGGUAGUCCUGGCUGUAAACGAUGCGGACUUUGUGUCGGACAAGCUAUGAGCUUGUCCGGUGCCGGAGGGAAACCGUUAAGUCCGCCGCCUGGGGAGUACGGCCGCAAGGCUGAAACUUAAAGGAAUUGGCGGG